GAUGAACGCUGGCGGCGUGCCUAAUACAUGCAAGUCGAGCGAACAGACGAGGAGCUUGCUCCUCUGACGUUAGCGGCGGACGGGUGAGUAACACGUGGAUAACCUACCUAUAAGACUGGGAUAACUUUGGGAAACCGGAGCUAAUACCGGAUAAUAUAUUGAACCGCAUGGUUCAAUAGUGAAAGACGGUUUUGCUGUCACUUAUAGAUGGAUCCGCGCCGCAUUAGCUAGUUGGUAAGGUAACGGCUUACCAAGGCGACGAUGCGUAGCCGACCUGAGAGGGUGAUCGGCCACACUGGAACUAAGACACGGUCCAGACUCCUACGGGAGGCAGCAGUAGGGAAUCUUCCGCAAUGGGCGAAAGCCUGACGGAGCAACGCCGCGUGAGUGAUGAAGGUCUUCGGAUCGUAAAACUCUGUUAUUAGGGAAGAACAAAUGUGUAAGUAACUAUGCACGUCUUGACGGUACCUAAUCAGAAAGCCACGGCUAACUACGUG
This 497-nucleotide ribosomal RNA is filed under the name uncultured bacterium. RNAcentral's name for it is "partial 16S ribosomal RNA". It matches the Rfam family "Bacterial small subunit ribosomal RNA", at positions 28 to 507 of the family's 1533-position model. The record is from RNAcentral.